Small RNA from Eubacterium sp. CAG:202, 54 nucleotides. It matches the Rfam family "Streptococcus sRNA SpF59 (ldcC RNA)". NCBI's taxonomy places the organism in Bacteria, Bacillati, Bacillota, Clostridia, Eubacteriales, Eubacteriaceae. The record is from Rfam.
UGACCACUUGCAUAUGUAAGUUAAGCCCAUACGGACAGGCGGGUCAGCUGCCGA